UAUGUUUUCUAAUCAGUUUGUCUGUACGUCUCUUUGUUCCUUCCUUUUUCUGUCUGUCAACAGAAUUACAGAAAAUGUACUGGCCCCAUUUUCAUGAAACCUGGUGAAAGGGUGUAGAUCGGCCCUAGGAAGAAACCAUUACAUUUUGGAGCGGAUCCAAACUACGGUUUUCUAACAACAGAGGAGAGGCAUCUUUAAAGACGACGUCCGUCUUCAUUAGAGAUGAGAGGAGCAGCUAUGAGUUUAACUGCAGCAGAGAGUGGAUUUGUUGUCUUCCUUCUCUCUGUGUCAGGUACUGUAUAUCUACAGUUACAUUCAUUCUUUAAAAGAGGGAUUCUGGGAAAAUGUGGGACUGAAGGUCAUCAUGUGUGAAUAAGUAGAUCAGAGUUGUGUGAAAGGCAAACUUCCAGAAAUGCUACAAAUAUUAGUUUUGUUUACAAUUGUGGAAACUCAGCAGACGGUAUCAGUUUAGUUUGUUGUUGUGUUAAUUGGACAGUAUCUUUUAAUUUUGUCCUUUGCAUGAAGUAACUGUGUGCUAAGCACUUUUACAUGAUGUAAACAGAGAAUAUUGUGGCUUUUAUUCAGAACUGUUCCCUCCUCACUCUGUGAAAACAUAUUACUGUUUAAUCUGUUCUAAAGACGACCCUGGUU
Sander lucioperca (pikeperch) is the source of this 651-nucleotide long non-coding RNA. RefSeq lists it as uncharacterized. The transcript is spliced from 4 exons. The record is from RefSeq and is a predicted model, not a curated record. NCBI's taxonomy places the organism in Eukaryota, Metazoa, Chordata, Actinopteri, Perciformes, Percidae.